Molecule: non-coding RNA, 98 nt
Organism: Lupinus albus (white lupine)
Lineage: Eukaryota; Viridiplantae; Streptophyta; Magnoliopsida; Fabales; Fabaceae
Source: the annotation of a GenBank genome assembly
AGAAGAAUAACAGGUCAAAUCUCCUUUGGCAUAAUGCAAUAGUGUUCUUGCAUGAGAACUGUUUUUAUGCCAAAGGAGAAUUGCCCUGCCAUUCUAUG